Triticum urartu is the source of this 1129-nucleotide non-coding RNA. The record is from RefSeq and is a predicted model, not a curated record. Lineage: Eukaryota; Viridiplantae; Streptophyta; Magnoliopsida; Poales; Poaceae.
GAUCAGUUGGUUCAUGCAGAGCAACUCUUCACGUUCAGUUCCUCAAUACAGUUUCUACAGUGAUCAGGGACCGUUGUGUCAGCGGAUAGCGCGGGCGAGUGAUUCUCCAGGGGCUGGCGAUGCCUCUCACCUGUUCAUCUCCAUAGUCAUGCCCAAUCUUCUAGCUGUCGUUCACCAGGCUCUUCAUCAACCUCGGUGCAACCCUACGAACCACCAGCAUAGAUAACCUAUCUACUUCCUAGAUAAUCUUUUUAUGUGCUAUUAGUUAGCUUCUCUAUAAUAUGCAUGUAUGUCUUCUUUAAGGUUCUUGUUUUGUUGAAAUUUGGUCGUUCUAGGAUAGGUUUGAUCCUCUGUUAACCAUUUAACUUAGACGAGCAAAGCUUAUCUUACUUUUUUCAAAGAACAAAAUUAUUUUACUUAAUUACUUGGUUGAAUACCAACAUGUGCAGAUAUGCUUUGAGCAGACUCAUGUACGUGUGUUCCUGGUCUGCAGGUGAAAGCUUCAGAGUCAUCUGCUGCUUCUAGGAAAUAUUGCUUUUUAGAAGUGUACCGCGUAAUCUAAGCAAAUACCAGUAUCCAUAACCUGGCAUGUACAAGGCAUCGGAUCCAAAUGAAUAUGUUAUAUGCUGACAUAUAGUAGUUUAGGAUGUAAUGGUUUGGCAUAGGAGUUUCCCAGUUUUGGUUUUAUGUUGUGUUAAUGGGUUUUGCACAAACAUAAUGGCAUAGCUCUGAAUUUGGGUCCUCGGGAUCAAAAUAUUACUGUUAUAAACAAUCUAAUCAUUUUCCUUUUCCAAGGAAGGUUCUUUGGUUAUCAUCAGUAGAAGCGGGGUUGGAUUCGUUGACAGAUGUUAAAUGAUGGUCAAGGUUUUGCCGCCUCGCUCUGCACCCUUCAAGUUGUGGUUGUAUGAAGGAUGAACCUAUGUCUCAUUUUUUUGAGGGCGAACAUAUGUACCAUUUCCUUGCUUUAAUAGUUUAAUUAUUGGAAAAAUUAGUAUAUGUUCAAAUUAUUCAUCUCUGACACCAAGCAAAAACUUUUUUGAAAUCCUUUGAAGACUACACGAAAUAGCUUCAGAGUGGUCAUCAUAAACAUGUACCUAUUUGAAGAUCUUAUAUUAAGUAGUCCUCGAUA